CGCGUCAUGGCAAUAAAUAAGCCGCAACUAUAACAGUAACAUAUGGUGACUUGGUAAACUCACUGAAGUAGUUAUGUCAUUCGAUCUAUCGGAUACAAAGCGAGACAGAUGGCAUGUAAGGCUGUUGCCCACCGGAACACAGCUAGGGGUUGGUUUAGGGUUGGACUUGUCAGCAGUUUCAGAAACGUUGUGUAACAGAACUGCAAACCUGUACACGCAAAAAAGAAAAACAUCUAUAUUUCUUCUAAACUGUGGAUUACCACGCUGUUUGGAUGAAGAAAACCGUGGCCUGUACUUGUCUGAAAAUGGACACCAGCUUGUGUAAAUUCCCCAGCUUUUGAUGAGCCGCAGGCUGCGAUCAAUUCUUCCCAUAACUGUUGCACGACUCCAGCCUAAAGUCACCCCACAGCAUGUACUCCGGAAUCGGAGAGGAGCAUGUCAGUACCGACAGCAGUUGUACUACAACAGGUCUGUCAAAGCUCUACCCCUCUUAGCUGCAAGGACACACAUGAGGAUGGUUCAUAUGAGGACACCAUGAGGAUGGUUCCUGGCAGCCAGCCGAGAUAACACAACCUGCCAACACGCACAGGAGUUACCAUAUCCAAACUGAUGAGGACAGAUGCUCUGGCUCAAUAGGCGACACCUCCGCAAAACGAGCGAGAGCCCAAGUACACCAGAGGACCACCAACCUACACCACCUCACAGCGCUACCCCAGACCUGCAAACUGAACCUGCUCAACAGCCAUUUAGCCAAUCACAACAAGAACAUUCUGGCUAUACCACAAGAUUCGGCUGUGCAGUCAAGCCUAGACAAAUACUUGACCUAUAAUCACAAGACUGAUUAGUCAAGCAGAACAAAACAACUACUAUGUUCAUGUCAUGUUAAAUGAAAUGAUCAUGUUAUACUCUCCUUAAGUACUGCAAAAGUUAUAUUAAGUUAAUCUCCCAGGUUGGCAUCCAUACGCACACAGAAGGCUGAAGGAGCGUGGGAAAAUGUUUCUUUACUCUUGUUAUUUAGCAGAUGUAUUUGAUUUAUUCACUGAAAGACUUUCAUUCUUACCAAGAGUUGUAACAAUUUAAGCCUAAUUUGAUGCUGUUGAGUCAUGCUUACAACUGGUUUAACAUUGAGUUAGAAAGAUUUGUUUCAGUGAAAUGCACACAUAUAGAUGCUACGUUUUUUGUUUGUUUGUUUUUUUAUUUUUUGUUUUUUGUUUUUUUUUAGGAGGGAGAUGUAACAUCCUGAUGUUAUCAAUGCCUCAGUUGCACUGAGUACAUCUAGGUGACGUCAUCAGUAUCGAGAGACUACCAUAUUGUGUGUGAUUCUGGUGUAACUCAAGAUGUCAGAGUAAACAAUAGUUGAAGUU
Molecule: long non-coding RNA, 1364 nt
Organism: Labeo rohita (rohu)
Lineage: Eukaryota; Metazoa; Chordata; Actinopteri; Cypriniformes; Cyprinidae
Exons: 3
Source: RefSeq, a predicted model, not a curated record